UUGGAUCCGACCUUGACACAGGCACAAAAAAAUUGCCUCUAGAUGAACAAAGGCUUAAAAAAUAAAACCUUAAACCCUCUAUAUUUUUAUGACUUCAGGAUUAGGAUAUGUUUCUUUGAAAAGCUAAAGAAAGAGUCAUAAAGAUUAACAUCCAGCGUACAUAAAGCCUCAAAUACAUCAACAAGAAACCUCCAAUAGAAAUCUUGAGAAAAAGAACAUGCAGAUGGCCAAUAAGCCUAACAGGAGCAUAAUCUCAUGAGUAAUUGGAGUAAAAUAAAGGCGGCCCAGAAGUCGUACCAUCCUAUACCUGCUAGAAUGGCAAAAUGAAGAAAUCUGCCCACACCACGUGGUGAGUCCACCCAACGGCAGCCGCUCGCUCUGUCGGUGGGAACGCACCUCGGAAGCCAGGGCUGCGUUACCAUGUGGUCCAGUUUGCGACCUGGUGACGUCAUACCUCGGGUCCCUGCAGACUUGGUCAUAUAUACCUGAGCUCAGAAUUUCAUAGGGCCGAUGUUCAGACAGGGUGUGCUCUGACGCAGCCCACAUGGGCCGGGCAAGAAAACCGAUGGAGAAAGUGCGGAAGGGAGUCACAACAAAAUCUGUGCAGUGAAGAUGAAAGAGCUACGGAUGCGCUUAAUAAUAUAGAUUCUCUGAGUGACAUAAUGUGAAGUAAAACGCACAGGCCUCCAGGACACUAAGCCUCCGCAGGCCGCGGCCCGCAAGGCACUCUGGGGCAGCCGUCUCGCGGUCGGUUGCCCGCAGGGGCGAAGCCUGUGGCCUUCUAUAGGCACGCGCAGAGCCACCAGCCAAUCAGCGACGCCCUCACUAGCCAAUCAGCGACGCCCUCGGGCGAGGCGAGCCUCGCUUUUCUCCCGCGUGAAGUCUAACUUUCCUCAGAAGCAUCGUGGCGGCACAGCGUACACCUCGGGUAAGGGGCUGGAGUGGUUGGGGCUGGAGUGGUGGGACGCCUCUCGGGAGACCAAUUCCUGUGGUUUUGGCCAUUGGGGACUUUUUUCAGGCGGGAGGAAGGGAGGACUUUGCCUCGCGCUCCAGUCCGAGGCUGCUUUUGAUCCGUGAGGUAAAUUUUUAGGGCCUCUGACAGGAAAGUGAAGUCCGUGAACUUCCCUGAGGGCGGGGCUUCCUGCCGUCGAGUGACGGGUGGAAUGCAGCGGGCAGAACCGGAUCUGACUGGUCCCGACGGCUCAGGCCGCUUUCUGUCUCGGUAGCCGGGUGGGUGGGCUUUCGCCCGC
Molecule: long non-coding RNA, 1250 nt
Filed under: Vulpes vulpes (red fox)
Lineage: Eukaryota; Metazoa; Chordata; Mammalia; Carnivora; Canidae
Description: lncRNA (ENSVVUG00000003826.1)
Source: RNAcentral